Molecule: ribosomal RNA, 381 nt
Filed under: Escherichia coli
Lineage: Bacteria; Pseudomonadati; Pseudomonadota; Gammaproteobacteria; Enterobacterales; Enterobacteriaceae
Description: bacterial LSU rRNA
Rfam family: Bacterial large subunit ribosomal RNA
Source: RNAcentral
GGGUUGUGAGGUUAAGCGACUAAGCGUACACGGUGGAUGCCCUGGCAGUCAGAGGCGAUGAAGGACGUGCUAAUCUGCGAUAAGCGUCGGUAAGGUGAUAUGAACCGUUAUAACCGGCGAUUUCCGAAUGGGGAAACCCAGUGUGUUUCGGCACACUAUCAUUAACUGAAUCCAUAGGUUAAUGAGGCGAACCGGGGGAACUGAAACAUCUAAGUACCCCGAGGAAAAGAAAUCAACCGAGAUUCCCCCAGUAGCGGCGAGCGAACGGGGAGGAGCCCAGAGCCUGAAUCAGUGUGUGUGUUAGUGGAAGCGUCUGGAAAGGCGCGCGAUACAGGGUGCCAGCACCGGCCACAACAAUGCACAUAUUGUGAGCUCGAUGAG